CAGAUGUGAAAGACCCGGGGCGUUAACCUCGGAAUUGCAUUUGAAACUGGCAGGCUAGAGUCUUGUAGAGGGGGGUAGGGAAUUUCAGGUGUAGCGGUGAAAUGCGUAGAGAUCUGAAGGAAUACCAGUGGCGAAGGCGGCCCCCUCGGACAAAGACUGACGCUCAGAUGCGAAAGCGUGGGGAGCAAACAGGAUUAGAUACCCUGGUAG
This 210-nucleotide ribosomal RNA is filed under the name uncultured bacterium. RNAcentral describes it as "partial 16S ribosomal RNA". It matches the Rfam family "Bacterial small subunit ribosomal RNA", at positions 589 to 793 of the family's 1533-position model. The record is from RNAcentral.